Molecule: ribosomal RNA, 305 nt
Filed under: uncultured bacterium
Lineage: Bacteria
Description: bacterial SSU rRNA
Rfam family: Bacterial small subunit ribosomal RNA
Source: RNAcentral
CGUGCCUACGGGGGGCAGCAGUCGGGAAUAUUGCGCAAUGGAGGAAACUCUGACGCAGUGACGCCGCGUAUGGGAAGAAGGUUUUCGGAUUGUAAACCGCUUUCAGCAGGGAAGGACCAUGACGGUACCUGCAGAAGAAGCCCCGGCUAACUACGUGCCAGCAGCCGCGGUAAUACGUAGGGGGCGAGCGUUAUCCGGAUUCAUUGGGCGUAAAGCGCGCGUAGGCGGCCCGCUAAGCGGGACCUCUAACCUGGGGGCUCAACCUCCAGCCGGGUCCCGAACUGGCGAGCUCGAGUGCGGUAGGG